AAUCAAUGUUAAAUUUAACCCAAAAAAAUCGUAUCGUCCCUACCGCACGAGAGAGUCUUCUGUCUCUCUACAAACCCCCAAACCCCAACAAACACAAGCUAAACCUUCUCAAUCCCUCUCUUUCGCGACCCAGAAAUGGCCGCCACAGCCUCCUCCUCAUAAACCCAUUCACCUUGUUCCUCCUCUUCUUUCGCAGAUUCUUUCUCUUUGGGUUUUGUUUUUGUCGGAGAGUUUGAUUUGGGAAUCCGAUCUUUUUCUUCAUCGAUCUUCAGUACCGGUUGUUUGGGGGUUUCUUUUCGGGUGAAAGUUAGGGUUUUAGGGUUUGGUUUUACUGCAAUCUUACCGGACCAGAAAAAACUCGAACUAUAGAUACAAGCCCUGUCGUAAAAAUUUGAUCUUUUUAUUGUUUAGGUUAAACUUCCUUAGGCUUGGAUUGUCGUGGGUCAGCUAGAAAUUUUCCGAGCAAAUCACAUGAUUAUUAGAUUCAUAGAAGAAAAUCUUGGAUGGGAUGAUAUUCAACUAUAUUAAUUACUGCAAUUUUGAUUUUUUUUUUGAAACAAACUGCAAUUUUUAUUUGGUUAUAGAAGAUUUCUACAUUUGAUUUACUUUGAAUUUAAAUGUUCCUGGUUUUUAGGAUUCAGACUGUAUUAACUAAUAACAUGUGAGUUAUUGAAUAGACUUAAAUAUUUUCUAUGGUUUCAGAUUGUUCACUGCAUGGAACUCUUAGGACUACAAUGACAGCCAACAAUGGACUUGUUGGAGGAGUGGAAAUUCUUGUUUCCAAUCUCGGCGAUCUUCGGAGUCUCCGUCGCUUCUCUGGAGCCCUUCCACUAAACCCAUUUUCUUCCAUUACCUGGAUGAGCUAUUUGAACAAAAGGGUGAGGUUGCCAAAUUUGUGUCAGAUGAACUUGAGAAGGCUAUAUUAAAGAUAAUCAAGCAUUGCAAGGAGUUUAACUCAUUCAUAUUUGGUUUUGUUUAUUUGAGUGUCUUGGGAAAAAAGGAUUAUGGAUUAUUUGGGGUGAUUGGGAGUGGGGUCAUUCGAUUUUAUUCCCUCGAUUGGAGUCGACGAUUGACGGCAUAAAGAACGUUUUGGAUUCUCCCAAUCGACGAUUUUUCUUUUUUUCAGAUUCGUGUGUUUGAUGAUGAUGUUGUGGAGAGCUCAGAAGUCACAACAGGUGUUACCAAAAAUGUGGUAAUUUUUAAGGUUGAAAAAUAUGGUGCAACAGUUUCAGGAAGUAUAAGUUGCAUUCUUGUAAUUUUUGAAAUGAUUUCUUUAGUUUAGUUAUUAAUCUGAUGGCUUUUUAUGAUUGUUAAGCUUGGAGAAUCGUUCAAUCAAUAUAGGGAAUGAUUGCUUUCAUCAUAUUUUCUACUAAUCUAGGGAGCUUUGAUCUUUGCCAAAGUGAGAUUCAGGGAAAAUUAGUAAUGGUUCAAGUCAACAUGUGGACACAAUAAAAAUGAAAUGGCAAAGAAAUAGAUUAGUCCCAACAAGCAUUGUUGGAAUAUAUAGUGAAACCAACCAAUGGAUGAAAAUGCGGAAUAAUAGUCGAAUUUCGUCAUUAGCUAUGAGACCACGUGCUUCAAUGGCUGCACCGAAAAUUCAGCCACUGAGUAAAUUUGUCUCUAACAUCCGAAUCAUGGUAAAUGGUUGUACUGGAAAAAGAGGUCAGGCUGUUAUUAAUGCAGCAGAUUCUGCUGGUCUUAACAUUGUUCCUGUAUCAUUUGGCUCUAAAGAAUAGUCUGGGACGAUUGUGCAAGUUUGUGGGAAAGAUAUCACGGUGCAAGGCCCUUCUAAAAGAGAAAGCACUCUGGCCUCUCUUUAUACUGAGUAUCCAAAUUUGAUUGUUGUGGAUUACACUGUGCCUGCAGCAGUCAAUGUAAUAUGACUUUCGGUGUAAUUAUACGUGUGGAAAGUGAAGCAUUUCAGUAUCUGUGAAAGAUGUUGUUAGGAUUGUCGAGGGACCUUGCAGAGUGAGAUCUCUAUAUCUUUGGCUUCUUUAUCUGCUUGCAAGAUUUGGGAUGAAUUCAUGUAAUCUGAUAAUUGUUGUUGUCAGACCAGGGAAAACAAGGUCCAGUUGAACAAAUAUACAAGGGUGUUCUAUUCAUCUAUCACCGCCACCACCUUGAGCAUGCUGGUUUUAUUUGUGCCAAGUCUUAGUCUUGUGUUGUUAUGGGAGGAUCACGUUCAAAUGGUUGAGCAAAAUGAUUAGCAGUUUUGAUAUGAUCCUGCUAAAUGUUGGAAUGGGGAUACAAAUCAAACUUUCCGCUAUUGGAAGAUACGUGACUAUGCUCAUACUUAUCCCUUAAGGAUUACAACACCAUCUACAUGGAGCUGGUGUUACUUCGCUAAAAAUAAUGUAUCAUUAUUUAAGGAGAUAUACGUUGGGUUGUCUUGGCACCCUUGACUCGACAAAGGUCAUACAACAAUGUCCCUCAGCCACAUGCCAUUUUGUACUACUCCCAAAGAACCUCCAAUGGGGGUCUUCUCAUUUCAGAAGCAACUGGAGUUUCUGAUACUGCUCAAGGGUACCCUGAUACACCUUGUAUUUAGACAAAAGAGCAUGUUGAAGCUUGGAAGCCUCUUGUUGAUGGUGUUCACGCUAAAGGUGGUGUCUUUUUCUGUCAGAUUUGGCAUGUGGGCAGAGUUUCAAAUGCAGGAUCUACAAGAGGUGAUUCAUAAGAGAAGUACGUAAUUGUUAAUAUUCAUUUGUUUGGUCAAAAUUAAUUUUCACUUGUAACAAUUGUUAAUUAUAUGAUUUCUAAUUAGUUUGGUCUAUUAGUUAUAAAAUUUUGAGAGGUUUACCUAUUAAGAAG
Cannabis sativa is the source of this 2811-nucleotide RNA transcript. It is a transcript of the gene named 4-hydroxy-tetrahydrodipicolinate reductase 1, chloroplastic-like, with no coding region annotated. NCBI's taxonomy places the organism in Eukaryota, Viridiplantae, Streptophyta, Magnoliopsida, Rosales, Cannabaceae. The record is from RefSeq and is a predicted model, not a curated record. The transcript has 13 exons.